Long non-coding RNA from Lycium barbarum (goji berry), 489 nucleotides. RefSeq lists it as uncharacterized. The record is from RefSeq and is a predicted model, not a curated record. The transcript has 2 exons. NCBI's taxonomy places the organism in Eukaryota, Viridiplantae, Streptophyta, Magnoliopsida, Solanales, Solanaceae.
AGAUUUCGAACGAAACGGGAAUUGAGUUUGAACGAGCGUAAGAAGUGAAAAAGGUACAGAGGUUCGUGAUCUGCCAGUGUAGGCCACACGUUCUGCUAUUACAGAGUGCUCCUUUUGAUCCGGAGCUCGUAUGUUGGUAUAUAUCUUUUAUGACGCAUAUGUUUGUGUACAUUUGACUAUUUGGGGGACGGCGGGGCCCUAUCCCGUCAUAUGAUUCAGUUAUGAUUUGUAGAGGCCUGUAGUCAUAUAUGUGGGUCAUGGGUCACGUGUGUGUUUGUUUGUGCAUGAUCUGCGUUUUAGUGCAGUUCCGGUUGCUAGUAUGGCCAAAACGGCCCAUUUGUCUGCACACGUAUAUGUACCUGGCGAUGUACAUUCCGCCAACCUAUCAGAUUUGGAUACGGCCAAAAUGGCCUGUAUAUUUGUAUAUGUGCAUAUGUACGGCGAUGUGUAUUCCGCCGACCCUUUUGAUUUGAUAUGAUAUUCUGUAUA